Molecule: non-coding RNA, 73 nt
Organism: Phrynosoma platyrhinos (Desert horned lizard)
Lineage: Eukaryota; Metazoa; Chordata; Lepidosauria; Squamata; Phrynosomatidae
Source: the annotation of a GenBank genome assembly
GCCAGGGUGGCGUAGUGGUUUGAAUGUUGGAUUAUGACUUUAGAGACCAAGGUUUCAAUUCCUGGCUCGGCCA